UAAGAACUGGAUAUGAUGACUGAAAUAAGCUCCAUAUCAACGAGAAUUUCGAUGGGAUUAUGUGCAGUCAAUGUCCAGUAAUUA
Non-coding RNA from Pongo abelii (Sumatran orangutan), 84 nucleotides. The record is from Rfam. NCBI's taxonomy places the organism in Eukaryota, Metazoa, Chordata, Mammalia, Primates, Hominidae.